AAAAUAUAUAUAUACAAACAAAAAUGCAUAUAAAUUGUGCAAAAUCUAUAUCUACGCUUCAGAUAAUACUCUUAAUAACAUUCAUGUCUCAGAGGUGAUGUUUAUGCACAUCAUACGAUUAUUCUUCAUGUUAAAAUAUCUCCAAUGUUUGCGUUUCUGAGGAAUGUAAUUAAAAUUUUCAGAGUUUCAUACAUUUCAUCUAUUUCUGACAUAUAUAUUGCUAUUUAUUUUUUUUUAUUAAUAAUGUUCAAUAAGAGAAGGCUUGCUCAGCUCAGUGCAAAUCCAACAGCGUUUUUUUUUUUUUUUUUUUUUUUUAAAGCUUCAUUUUUUUUAGCACCACAUACUGAAAUUUCAGAGUUGGAGUGUGACUUCUGUCUGCAGCAGAUUUUAGUGGAUUCCAGCAUUCACCUGCCGCACUCGGUUCUCUGUGAGCCAAACCGAUUUGGAGAGCAGGAUUCAGCCUCCAAUAAUCACUGGCACCUGAACUGAGCGUCUGGCAGAGCAGGCGAGUCCGCGGCCGCAGUCACAAAGUGCCAGAGUUUGGAAAGCGGAUCAUGUUCAUUUAUCAUCCCGCUCGUAAACUAAUUCACAAACAGCAAAACACCAAAACACCUCCCCGAGCUCGACAGCCGCCUGACGUUUUGCAGGUUGAUGAAAUUAGCUGGAAAAUGUCUGUUUGAUGGAGGUUUUAACUUGAAUUUUAAUGAGUUUUAAAGCCACAUAUUAACUACAAAGAGGCAAAAAACUACAUAAAGACAAAACCUGUAAAUAAGAGAUGAAAAAUAACUCAGGUACAGACUUAAAAUGACCACGAGAUGAAAAAUGAUGACAGAAAAAUGCACGAGAACUGCAACACAGAAAACAGCAUGGAAACAUAAAAUGACAACACAAAGGGUCAAAAUUACUAUAACAAAACACACAAUAGUAACAAAGAGACGCAAAAUGGCAACAAAGAGGGGAAAAAUGACGACAUAAAGUCUAUAACCAACCACAAAAGAGGCAAAAUAAUUACAAAAAGAUACAAAGCAGAAAAGAAGAGACAAAAA
Amphiprion ocellaris (clown anemonefish) is the source of this 1046-nucleotide long non-coding RNA. The record is from Ensembl. NCBI's taxonomy places the organism in Eukaryota, Metazoa, Chordata, Actinopteri, Pomacentridae.